Molecule: long non-coding RNA, 609 nt
Filed under: Homo sapiens (human)
Lineage: Eukaryota; Metazoa; Chordata; Mammalia; Primates; Hominidae
Description: non-protein coding lnc-GOLGA6L9-2:5
Source: RNAcentral
UGAGUGAUCCCCAUGCGUUUUCUGCUGCAGAGCAGGACAUGCUGAAGUGAUUCCUUCGUGAGCAGAUGUUAGAGGUCUCCCUUUGACAGCUUGUUACAAAGUUGAUCACGAAUAUACUAUUACGUGUGUUAUGGUCCUCAUUAUUUGGAUGAAUAAUUUGAAUAAUAAGUCAGCUUGUGACUUAGCCAAAUAAAUCUUCUGAUUCCUAGUAAAGUGUUUUUCAUUAUACGAAAUGCCAGCUAUGUAAGAGGAGAUUAAAAGUACUAAGAACUGUAAGUACUCCAUUGAUUAUCAUAUGCUAACCAUGGGCCAGGCACGGUGGCACACACCUAUAAUCCCAGCACUUUGGGAGGCUGAGGCGGGUGGAUCACUUGAGGUCAGGAGUUCAAGACCAGCCUGGCCAAGAUGGUGAAACCCCUGUCUCUACCAAAAAUACAAAAAAUUUGCCAGAUGUGGUGGUGCAUACUGGUAAUCCCAGCUACUCAGGAGGCUGAGUCAGGAGAAUCGCUUGAACUCGGGAGGCAGAGGUUGCAGUGAGCUGAGAUCGUGCCACUGCGCUCCAGCCUGGGUGACAAAGAUAAACUCCAUCUGAACAAAAAAGAAAAAGAA